GAUGAAGAACGUAGCGAAAUGCGAUAAGUAGUGUGAAUUGCAGAAUUCAGUGAAUCAUCGAAUCUUUGAACGCACAUUGCGCCCUUUGGUAUUCCUUAGGGCAUGCCUGUUCGAGCGUCAUUUAAACCUUCAAGCUCAGCUUGGUGUUGGGUGACUGUCCGCUUCACCGCGGACUCGCCUCAAAAUUAUUGGCGGCCGGUACAUGGCUUCGAGCGCAGCAGAAACGCGAACUCGGGCCCGUCGUAUUGGCUCCCAGAAGCUAUCUUCACAAUCUUGACCUCGGAUCAGGUAGGGAUACCCGCUGAACUUAAGCAUAUCAAUAAGCGGAGA
This 330-nucleotide unclassified non-coding RNA is filed under the name soil metagenome. RNAcentral's name for it is "partial contains 5.8S ribosomal RNA, internal transcribed spacer 2, and large subunit ribosomal RNA". The stretch from base 1 to 120 matches the Rfam family "5.8S ribosomal RNA", at positions 35 to 154 of the family's 154-position model. The record is from RNAcentral.